GCGCGGGUGGCGAAACCGGCAGACGCGCAAGCUUGAGGGGCUUGUGGGAGCAAUCCCGUGGAGGUUCAAGUCCUCUCCCGCGCA
This 84-nucleotide transfer RNA is filed under the name Parcubacteria group bacterium. RNAcentral's name for it is "tRNA-Leu". It matches the Rfam family "tRNA". Rfam says of the family: Transfer RNA (tRNA) molecules are approximately 80 nucleotides in length. The record is from RNAcentral.